RNAcentral lists this ribosomal RNA (258 nucleotides) under uncultured bacterium. Its description in RNAcentral is "partial 16S ribosomal RNA". It matches the Rfam family "Bacterial small subunit ribosomal RNA", at positions 524 to 776 of the family's 1533-position model. The record is from RNAcentral.
UACGUAGGUGGCGAGCGUUGUCCGGAUUUACUGGGCGUAAAGGGCGUGCAGGCGGUUUGUUAAGUGCAGGGUGAAAGACCGUCCCGGCUCAACCUGGGAGAUGGUCCUUGGCAUACUGGCGAACUCGAGGGAGGCAGAGGAAAGUGGAAUUCCCGGUGUAGUGGUGAUAUGCGUAGAUAUCGGGAGGAACACUGUGGCGAAGGCGGCUUUCUGGGCCUUACCUGACGCUGAGACGCGAAAGCGUGGGGAGCGAACCGG